This 497-nucleotide ribosomal RNA is filed under the name uncultured bacterium. Its description in RNAcentral is "partial 16S ribosomal RNA". It matches the Rfam family "Bacterial small subunit ribosomal RNA", at positions 28 to 507 of the family's 1533-position model. The record is from RNAcentral.
GAUGAACGCUGGCGGCGUGCCUAAUACAUGCAAGUCGAGCGAACAGACGAGGAGCUUGCUCCUCUGACGUUAGCGGCGGACGGGUGAGUAACACGUGGAUAACCUACCUAUAAGACUGGGAUAACUUCGGGAAACCGGAGCUAAUACCGGAUAAUAUAUUGAACCGCAUGGUUCAAUAGUGAAAGACGGUUUUGCUGUCACUUAUAGAUGGAUCCGCGCCGCAUUAGCUAGUUGGUAAGGUAACGGCUUACCAAGGCUACGAUGCGUAGCCGACCUGAGAGGGUGAUCGGCCACACUGGAACUGAGACACGGUCCAGACUCCUACGGGAGGCAGCAGUAGGGAAUCUUCCGCAAUGGGGCAGAACCUGACGGAGCAACGCCGCGUGAGUGAUGAAGGUCUUCGGAUCGUAAAGCUCUGUUAUUAGGGAAGAACAAAUGUGUAAGUAACUAUGCACGUCUUGACGGUACCUAGUCAGAAAGCCACGGCUAACUACGUG